GUAGCCUACCAGUUUCUUACUGCUCUACUCUGCAAAGCAAGAGAUUAAGAACCCAUCAUGGAUCCUGUGUACGUGGACAUAGACGCUGACAGCGCCUUUUUGAAGGCCCUGCAACGUGCGUACCCCAUGUUUGAGGUGGAACCUAGGCAGGUCACACCGAAUGACCAUGCUAAUGCUAGAGCGUUCUCGCAUCUAGCUAUAAAACUAAUAGAGCAGGAAAUUGAUCCCGACUCAACCAUCCUGGAUAUUGGUAGUGCGCCAGCAAGGAGGAU
This is a regulatory RNA element of 272 nucleotides. It matches the Rfam family "Togavirus 5' plus strand cis-regulatory element". The record is from Rfam.